The sequence is a non-coding RNA, 47 nucleotides long. It matches the Rfam family "L31-Actinobacteria ribosomal protein leader".
CCGGCACCGGUUCACCCCGGUACGCCCGUCCCGGGGAUCCGGCGGCC